AUUGAACGCUGGCGGCAGGCCUAACACAUGCAAGUCGAACGAGUGGCGGAGGGGUGAGUAAAGUCCGGGAAACUGCCUGAUGGAGGGGGAUAACAACUGGAAACGGUAGCUAUUACCGCAUACCUUCGGACGUGCCCAUAUGGGCUUAGCUAGUUGGUGGGGUAACGGCUCACCAAGGCGACGAUCCCUAGCUGGUCUGAGAGGAUGACCAGCCACACUGGAACUGAGACACGGUCCAGACUCCUACGGGAGGCAGCAGUGGGGAAUAUUGCACAAUGGGCGCAAGCCUGAUACAGCCAUGCCGCGUGUAUGAAGAAGGCCUUCGGGUUGUAAAGUACUUUCAGCGGGGAAGCGUUACCCGCAGAAGAAGCACCGGCUAACUCCGUGCCAGCCGCCGCGGUAAUAC
This 406-nucleotide ribosomal RNA is filed under the name uncultured bacterium. RNAcentral describes it as "partial 16S ribosomal RNA". It matches the Rfam family "Bacterial small subunit ribosomal RNA", at positions 30 to 526 of the family's 1533-position model. The record is from RNAcentral.